GUCUCUGUAGUGUAAUGGAUAGCGCGUUGGACUUCUAAUCCAAAGGUCGUGGAUUCGAAUCCCACCUGGAAUA
RNAcentral lists this transfer RNA (73 nucleotides) under Trichonephila clavipes. It matches the Rfam family "tRNA". From Rfam's summary of the family: Transfer RNA (tRNA) molecules are approximately 80 nucleotides in length. Their secondary structure includes four short double-helical elements and three loops (D, anti-codon, and T loops). Lineage: Eukaryota; Metazoa; Arthropoda; Arachnida; Araneae; Nephilidae. The record is from Rfam by way of RNAcentral.